CACGUAGUUAGCCGGGGCUUCUUAGUCAGGUACCGUCAUUAUCUUUCCUGCUGAUAGAGCUUUACAUACCGAGAUACUUCUUCACUCACGCGGCGUCGCUGCAUCAGGGUUUCCCCCAUUGUGCAAUAUUCCCCACUGCUGCCUCCCGUAGGAGUCUGGGCCGUGUCUCAGUCCCAAUGUGGCCGUCCACCCUCUCAGGCCGGCUACUGAUCGUCGCUUUGGUGGGCCGUUACCCCGCCAACUGGCUAAUCAGACGCGGAUCCAUCGUAUACCACCGGAGUUUUUCACACCGCUCCAUGCGGAGCUGUGCGCUCAUGCGGUAUUAGCACCUAUUCUAAGUGUUAUCCCCCGGUAUACGGCAGGUUAUCCACGCGUUACUCACCCGUCGCCACUAACUCAUAAAUCACUAGGUUUCAGUAUGAGUCCGUUGACUUGCAUGUGUUAGGCACGCCGCCAGCGUUCAUCCUGAGCCAGGAUCAAACUCU
This 485-nucleotide ribosomal RNA is filed under the name uncultured Lachnospiraceae bacterium. Its description in RNAcentral is "partial 16S ribosomal RNA". Lineage: Bacteria; Bacillati; Bacillota; Clostridia; Lachnospirales; Lachnospiraceae. The record is from RNAcentral.